Haliotis rufescens (red abalone) is the source of this 4591-nucleotide long non-coding RNA. RefSeq lists it as uncharacterized. NCBI's taxonomy places the organism in Eukaryota, Metazoa, Mollusca, Gastropoda, Lepetellida, Haliotidae. The transcript is spliced from 3 exons. The record is from RefSeq and is a predicted model, not a curated record.
AAAGAGUGCUUUACCGAAACACAGUAUGCAUCGGAGGCAGAAAAUUUAUUCAAGCUCUGAAGUCCCAAACAACUGAAAAUGCUCCAAAACACCAUCACGUGACCCUGGUAUUCUCAAAGUGCUGGUGAAAUAGCAGACACUACAUCUGCCUAUGAGCAAUGGACAGAACUGAGAAUACCAUAUCAUGAACCGUAGUGAACACUGCUAGCAACAUCCUGUUUUAGUAAGUAUAAUUGAAUCCCCAAUUAUAAUGUCAUUGUACAUACAAAAAAUGACAUAGUGUUGUUUUUAAAAAGUGAUCUGUUUGGCAGUGUUUUAUAUAUUGUAUAUUUUUCUUUUCACUUUGUCUACUGGCCUGCAUUUGUCCUUGUCAUUUUCCUGUUAUUUCUGAUACAUUCCAAAAUAAGAUUUGUCUGUACAGUACCAGCACACUUUAAUAAGGACUAAGAGCAAAUGUGCCUAUUUCUCAGUGUUUUAGACAAUUUGUGUUGUACCCAAAUAGAGGGAAUAUUGUUACUGUAGUUCUUGUCAUUGUCUUGGUGGCAAGUGCCACAUUAUCAUGGGCACUACUUCAGCAUGUUUAGUUAUACACAUUUACCAGUGAAGAUCAGGGUCAGAAUAGGUCUUCAGCAAACCAUGCUUGCUUUAAGAGGCGACUAUCCUUGUCAUAAGAGGCAACUUACAUGAUUGAGGGGUCAGGCUCAGAGACCAUGUUGAUGCAUGUCAUCGUAUCCCAUUUGCAUGGAUUGAUGCUCAUGAUGUCAAUUACUGGAUUGUCAGGUCCAUAUUUGAUUAUUUACAGGCAGCUGUCAAAGCACGAAUAUUGCUUAGUACAGCAUUAAACAACAAACAAACAAAGUUAUACAGUUCAAUUUUUUAAAUAAUCUUAUACUCUAGUAUUAUAAUGUGCUAUUUUUAUUGAUUAUUAUGAAUACAGACUGUUUGUAUCAGUUUGUAAGAGACACAAACCAAGGUUCCAACAACUAUCUGCACAUGCUUUGUCGUAACACAAUUAAUAUGGUAUCUUCAGGUUAUGUAUGUUUGUAAAAUGUGCUAGAAAGUGUCCACUUUAGUUGUAAAAUCAGUAUCUUCCUCACAACAGAGCUAAUGUGCACUACCUUGUUGUGGUAUUUUUUGUUGAACUCGUCUCUGUCUUUCUCAAGUUAUGUUUGUGCACGGUGCCUACCUGGUGUAUUGAUAAUAUUACCUGACAAGAGUCAAGUUUGCUCAUCAUAUUCUGAAAUAAGUGUCUCCAAUCUAAUAGAAAUGGGAAAAGUAAUACAAGCGAGUCACCAUCAUUUUAACCGGUGCUAGGGAUGUCAGCAUAAAGUAUAUGUUUUUUUAUUAAUAUUAUAAAUAUUAAAACUCUUUGCACCUGGAUUGGAAGAAUUGAACAUUAUAAGAAAACUGCUAUGUUCCUUUUCAGCUGACAGGCUGUUUGUGGAAGAUGUAAGGUCAAGUGCUAGCCCCCUGUUUAGUUUAGACCUACAUUGUAAAUGUUGUGCACUGGACCAUGGAGCCUGGUCACUACAGGGUUUACCCAAACCUCUUAAAACUGGGGACAAAUUCAAUUUCUAAUCUUAAAAAUAUCAUCUUGAUUCUCUAAUCAUACUGUUAAAAUUAUGUUUUACGUACUUAUCUUAUCUCUGUGGAAUUCCUAAUCCAAUUAAAUAGUAAUGUCCAAUAUUUUUUAAUAUAUUUGCAGAUAACAAAUUGCUAUAGACUAAUAAGGCAACUGCUAUAUUAUAUUCUGACUCUUUACUGGACUCACCAGACUCUGCACUGUAUACUACUGAACACAAUGAAGUAUCAACGUCUUUUCAUUUCGGAAUUCAAGUAGCAAGCGGUAGCCUGUUGUCUGGUACUUUAAAGUAUACUAUAAUGCAUGUACUAAUUCUUUAUACUGUAAACACAUAACAUGUUUUGCUUGAGCAAUUCUUCCUGAAAAGCCCCCAAGUUUGAAACGCAAUUUAGUUACAUUGUGCUCGAUGUAGUAAGUCCAAUUAAUAAUAGUCAAUAUGUCAACACUAAAAUCCUGUUCGGGCUAGUUGACCCAUCAUUUUGGGGCACAGGCUGCUCAUGUAAUUCAAUAUAUGGUGACAAUGUUGCACAAGGUUCUGUUGUGUGUAUUUCAAUAACUUGCACAUUUAUGAACUUUAACCUUAAUGUAAUCCUUGAAUCCAGUGAUGCUUUAUUUUUACAUUUCUUUAAUAACCUACAAUUGUUAUGAAGCUGUCAUUUUUUGUGUGGUUCCAGGAAUAAAGUCACCAGAAAUGUAUUCAAAAAUUUUAUCUGAUUUUGAGCAUGACGAACAUGGCAGAUAUGUUUAAAAUGUUGUUUUUUUCCACUACUCAGAUAUUUAAGUUAUUGUACAGUAAGUCGUCUGUAGUGUACUCUGUGCUAGUAGUAGGUAAUAUUUCCUGGAUCGGGUGAUAAUAGAGGGACGGCCCUCCCCAACAGUUUAUCAUAAACCAUCAGCGCUACGGUCUGGCAUGUAACUGAUACACCCCGACACCCUGCUGUUAACCUCCCUGUACCGCUGCAGAUGCGCAAUAGAUGCGCAGACAUUCACGACUGACCAUUCUGGUAACCACGUAAACAAUAUUACAUAAUAUCCGGGGUAAGAGUUAAUUCCCUUAGCCGAGAUUUCUCCGACUACGACCAGCGACAAUCCAAUAAAAGGACGUCUCUUAGCGGAUUACAAUGAUUCUUUUUAUGAUAUCUCUCACUAGCACAUGUCAGUUGGCUGCAAAUUAUUUGCUGAACAUGUGUGUCUUCCGGGACAUUUAUUUUCAAUUUACAUUCGCUACAGCCAUGGACGACUUCAUUCACUUGGACGAUUUCGUUUUGGACCUAGAUAUGCCACUUGAAGAAUUCCCUCUCUUCGACCAGGGGUUGGUUUCGGAUGACUCUUGGUCUAAAUAGAAUGACAGUAAUGUUACCGCUACCAAGCCGUUGGUAAUACCUCCCCAAAAGUUUCACUCAAAGAAAAAGAUAGGAAAUGAAAAUAUGACGUCUGUCCACAAGCGUAAGUUUUCGAGGGCGUGUGAAGAAAAAGCCGUUCCGAUAUCAAAAGUAUUUUAUAACGUAUUCUAUUUGUUUUAAAAAUCAGUUAACAUAUCUCAUUUUAUGCUGCAAUUGUUAACUAUUAUAAAUAAACAAAUAUACCAAAUCUACUACGAACGCCACAGAAAACUACGAUCCGGUAAAUUGCACAGGAACUCAGGAAGUGUAAAUAAAACUCAUCCAGAAGCAGGGAAAACACUUGUAACAUAUCACCAUAUUCCCGAUGUUCACAAAAUAUAUCUCCAGAUUAACUUCAUAUCUUAUAAUAAGUCCAGACUAGAUUUACUUGCAAAAAUGCAUGAUCACCGACUGGUGUAAAUGCUUUACUAUUAGCCAGAAAAAAAAUGACGCCAUAUUAAUGUUUUUAUUUCAUGUAAAUUCGCUACUAUUUUAUAAUGCUAAUAGUUCCAAUGAAUUAAAAAUACACCUUAAACUACGAGCGUUGUUAAAUGAAUUUUCGAUGUGUCCGACAAUGGGCUUCGAAAGAAUCAAAUGUUAUUGGUUAAUGCCAGUUUGGGGCUAUAGCAGUGAUAAUGGGGUUUGCCGGAGCGAGGUAAGUUUUUUUUCAAAGGGAGGCUACUGUUAAAUUCCAAAGCAAAGAGGACGAUUGUAAUUUUACAAUCGUUAUUCGAUAUUACCCGAUUAGAUUGAUAUUUCAGCAUACAAAUAAUUAGGUAUUUCAGGUAUAACAAUAUAGCUUCAACGAGCAUGGUACCAGAUAUGUACUAGUAUAUCGUAAACUGUAGUAACGUUUGUUGUUUUCAAAAUCCUUUCAUCAUAGUUUUCUAUAUCUGAUCAAUGAAAAACAAACUUUAAACUCUAACCAGGAACGAAGCAUGCAACUAUUACUAUUAAAACAAAACAAACUCUGACAUAUGUAAAUGUAUUUUUCACAGAAAAGGACAAUAGACCAUUUAUAUAUUUUACUGAAUGACACCUUCGACCUUGUUGUCUGGAACUUCUCUCCCGACGACUGCCGAUAUAAUCCUUCUUCUUUCUUGGCAUUUACAAAGCAAAUGAUAAUUUUAUUAUACAAAUAUUUCGUGUAACGGAUUUUUAUUUUUGUAUGAUGUUUUCAUUGUUGUGUAAAUACACAAAGUAAGUAGUACCUUCAUCAUAUUUAUAUUAUUAUGAUUGGGUUUAGGCCAAUAUCAUUUUGCUCAUAAUCAAUAUUUACACGGCAUAAAAUAAAUAAUUGAUUAAAUGUAGUCAUGAUUUAUACAGACAAAAUCUACAGAAGAUAACAAAUAUGCAGUAUUGUAGUAUGUAGUAUAUGCGCGAUAUGUGAUAGAAGCCUAACUGAAACAAUGUUAAACUUACGAGGAAAUGGCGAAAGCAAUGGUAAAAAAAAUAUGCAUUUUACAAAAAAAUUCUAAUAUCAUACAAUAUAAGUCACUUUGUAGAAUGUUUCAAAGGAUAUAUGCGGAUGAUAAUCACAGACAAAAUGCAUGUUAUGUCGUCUGCUAUAUGGUAAUUUAACUUAAAAUAUGUGACGUAAAAUAUGGCCUUGCGCCAAAAAUCAUAC